Molecule: ribosomal RNA, 465 nt
Filed under: Vreelandella stevensii
Lineage: Bacteria; Pseudomonadati; Pseudomonadota; Gammaproteobacteria; Oceanospirillales; Halomonadaceae
Description: partial 16S ribosomal RNA
Rfam family: Bacterial small subunit ribosomal RNA
Source: RNAcentral
CCUACGGGGGGCAGCAGUGGGGAAUAUUGGACAAUGGGGGCAACCCUGAUCCAGCCAUGCCGCGUGUGUGAAGAAGGCCCUCGGGUUGUAAAGCACUUUCAGUGAGGAAGAACGCCUGGUGGUUAAUACCCAUCAGGAAAGACAUCACUCACAGAAGAAGCACCGGCUAACUCCGUGCCAGCAGCCGCGGUAAUACGGAGGGUGCGAGCGUUAAUCGGAAUUACUGGGCGUAAAGCGCGCGUAGGUGGCUUGAUAAGCCGGUUGUGAAAGCCCCGGGAUCAACCUGGGAACGGCAUCCGGAACUGUCAAGCUAGAGUGCAGGAGAGGAAGGUAGAAUUCCCGGUGUAGCGGUGAAAUGCGUAGAGAUCGGGAGGAAUACCAGUGGCGAAGGCGGCCUUCUGGACUGACACUGACACUGAGGUGCGAAAGCGUGGGUAGCAAACAGGAUUAGAUACCCCAGUAGUC